CAAAUCUGAAGAGUCCCAGCAUAGGACGAAACAACUGUCCAGUGC
Molecule: non-coding RNA, 45 nt
Filed under: Trichobilharzia regenti
Lineage: Eukaryota; Metazoa; Platyhelminthes; Trematoda; Strigeidida; Schistosomatidae
Source: RNAcentral